ACGAACCGUCCAAACGUUAUUCGGUAUCACUGGGCUUAAAGCGUGCGUAGGCGGCCUGGUAGGUGAGGUGUGAAAUCCCACGGCUCAACCGUGGAAUUGCGCUUCAAACCACCAGGCUCGAGGAAGGUAGGGGUGAUGGGAACUUAUGGUGGAGCGGUGAAAUGCGUUGAUAUCAUAGGGAACACCGGUGGCGAAAGCGCAUCACUGGAUCUUUACUGACGCUGAGGCACGAAAGCUAGGGUAGCGAACGGGAUUAGAUACCCCGGUAGUCCUAGCCGUAAACGAUGAGCACUGGGUUGAGGGAACUAUCACAUUCUCUCGGCCGUAGCGAAAGCGUUAAGUGCUCCGCCUGGGGAGUAUGGUCGCAAGGCUG
RNAcentral lists this ribosomal RNA (373 nucleotides) under uncultured bacterium. RNAcentral's name for it is "bacterial SSU rRNA". It matches the Rfam family "Bacterial small subunit ribosomal RNA", at positions 525 to 896 of the family's 1533-position model. The record is from RNAcentral.